RNAcentral lists this long non-coding RNA (587 nucleotides) under Phaseolus vulgaris (common bean). Its description in RNAcentral is "long non-coding RNA (PVUL_LNC002969)". The record is from RNAcentral. Lineage: Eukaryota; Viridiplantae; Streptophyta; Magnoliopsida; Fabales; Fabaceae.
GGAUGAAGAUGAUGGAGGUUGGGUGACAGGGGAAUUGGAAUUUGGAGUUGGGGCAUAGGGGUAGGGUGAUUGAGAUGUUGGGGAAGGAGUGUUUGGAGGUGACGGAAUGUAGGGAGGUUGGGAAAUGGGAGAAGGAGUGGUGGAUGGUGGUGUGGAAAUGUAAGAAGGUGGCUGGGAUAUUGGGGAAGGAGUGGUGGAUGGUGGUGUGGAAAUGUAAGGUGGCUGGGAUAUUGGGGAAGGAGUGGUGUUUGGAGGUGAUGGGAUGUAAGGAGGCUGAGAUAUUGGGGAAGGAGUGUUUGGAGGUGAUGGGGUGUAAGGAGGCUGGGAAGUAGGAGAAGGAGUAUUGGGUUGUGGAGGCACAUAAGGUGACUGAGAAAAGGGUGAUGGGGUUAUUGGAACAAAGGGUGGUUGAUGAUGAGGGGAAGGGGUGUUUGGAGGUAGAGGAGCAUGGGGUGGAUGGUUAUUAGGGGAAGGAGCAUAAGUGGGAGAAGGUGUGUUGGGAGGUAUGGGAGCAUAGGGUGGUUGAGCUUUGGGAGGAAAGGGAAGAUUAGUAGGAGGUGAAGGUGCUUCUGGAGGAGUAUAAACAG